GGCCCGUUCUUCUAAUGGCAGGAGGCUGGACUUUUGAUCCGGCGAUAUGGGUUCGAAUCCCGUACGGACUG
This 71-nucleotide transfer RNA is filed under the name Fuerstiella sp. Its description in RNAcentral is "tRNA-Lys". It matches the Rfam family "tRNA". Rfam says of the family: Transfer RNA (tRNA) molecules are approximately 80 nucleotides in length. Their secondary structure includes four short double-helical elements and three loops (D, anti-codon, and T loops). Lineage: Bacteria; Pseudomonadati; Planctomycetota; Planctomycetia; Planctomycetales; Planctomycetaceae. The record is from RNAcentral.